AUUGAACGCUGGCGGCAUGCCUUACACAUGCAAGUCGAACGGCAGCACGGGUGCUUGCCCCUGGUGGCGAGUGGCGAACGGGUGAGUAAUACAUCGGAACAUGUCCUGUAGUGGGGGAUAGCCCGGCGAAAGCCGGAUUAAUACCGCAUACGAUCUACGGAUGAAAGCGGGGGACCUUCGGGCCUCGCGCUAUAGGGUUGGCCGAUGGCUGAUUAGCUAGUUGGUGGGGUAAAGGCCUACCAAGGCGACGAUCAGUAGCUGGUCUGAGAGGACGACCAGCCACACUGGGACUGAGACACGGCCCAGACUCCUACGGGAGGCAGCAGUGGGGAAUUUUGGACAAUGGGCGAAAGCCUGAUCCAGCAAUGCCGCGUGUGUGAAGAAGGCCUUCGGGUUGUAAAGCGCUUUUGUCCGGAAAGAAAUCCUUGGCCCUAAUACGGUCGGGGGAUGACGGUACCGGAAGAAUAAGCACCGGCUAACUACGUG
Molecule: ribosomal RNA, 486 nt
Filed under: uncultured bacterium
Lineage: Bacteria
Description: partial 16S ribosomal RNA
Rfam family: Bacterial small subunit ribosomal RNA
Source: RNAcentral